This is a long non-coding RNA of Osmia bicornis bicornis, 314 nucleotides long. RefSeq lists it as uncharacterized. The transcript is spliced from 3 exons. NCBI's taxonomy places the organism in Eukaryota, Metazoa, Arthropoda, Insecta, Hymenoptera, Megachilidae. The record is from RefSeq and is a predicted model, not a curated record.
AUGAGAUGCAGCAACAGGAGGAGAAGAUAGAAAUUAAAAGGAGAAAGAAAAUAUGCAGCAUCAGAGGGUGUAUUAACGAAAACAGCAGGAUGUUCUUCUUCCCCCAAGAGAGAAAGGAUAAGAAGAGGAUGGCACAGUAGGUGGAAGUAUGUGACAACCCAAAGUCUGUGCUUCCACCUGAAAACUGAAAUUCCAGGUGGUCUGUAGCAGCUACUUUAAAGAAAAAUGCUUCAUGAGGAAAAGAUUAACAUCAGCAGUUCCAACACUGAACUUAUUUGAGGCUGUAAUAAAUAUUGCAUAUCAGAGGCUGCCUC